This 160-nucleotide ribosomal RNA is filed under the name Chloropicon laureae. RNAcentral's name for it is "partial Bacterial large subunit ribosomal RNA". It matches the Rfam family "Bacterial large subunit ribosomal RNA", at positions 1589 to 1757 of the family's 2925-position model. Lineage: Eukaryota; Viridiplantae; Chlorophyta; Chloropicophyceae; Chloropicales; Chloropicaceae. The record is from RNAcentral.
AAAUAAAGAAAUCAAGUGAACAGGAAAAAUCAAAAGAAUAUAACCGUACUGUAAACCGCCACUGGUGAAGGAGUAGAAAUCUACUAAGGUGAUCGAAAGAACCAUUUUUAAGGAACUCGGCAAAAUGACCCCGUAACUUAGGGAGAAGGGGGACCUCUAU